This 192-nucleotide unclassified non-coding RNA is filed under the name uncultured Helotiales. RNAcentral describes it as "sequence contains ITS1". Lineage: Eukaryota; Fungi; Ascomycota; Leotiomycetes; Helotiales. The record is from RNAcentral.
AAAAGUGGUGGUGUAAAUCACCCCCCUAGGCUAUUGAUGCUUGGGCUUGCCCCUGCUAAACUAGCCUAGGCCACUUCACCCUUGAUAAACUACCAUCGUUGCUUUGGCAGGUCGUGGCCCUCGGCCCGUAGCACCUGCCAGAGGACCCCAAACUCUUUUGUUAUGUGACGUCUGAGUACUAUAUAAUAGUUA